GGAAGUAAAAGUCGUAACAAGGUUUCCGUAGGUGAACCUGCGGAAGGAUCAUUAAUGAAAUUAUGACUGGGGUUGUCGCUGGCCUAUAAAACGGCAUGUGCACGCUCCUUUCACAAUCCACACACACCUGUGCACCUUCGCGGGGGUCUCCUCUCUUCGGAGAGGAGGCUCGCGUCCCUUUACACACCCUUUGUAUGUCUUAAGAAUGUCUACUCGAUGUAAUAAAACGCAUCUAAUACAACUUUCAACAACGGAUCUCUUGGCUCUCGCAUCGAUGAAGAACGCAGCGAAAUGCGAUAAGUAAUGUGAAUUGCAGAAUUCAGUGAAUCAUCGAAUCUUUGAACGCACCUUGCGCCCUUUGGUAUUCCGAAGGGCACACCUGUUUGAGUGUCGUGAAAUUCUCAACCCUCUUCGCUUUUUUGCGAACGUAGGGAUUGGACUUGGAGGCUUUGCCGGGCUUCACAUGCUCGGCUCCUCUCAAAUGCAUUAGUGCGUCUUGUUGCGACGUGCGCCUCGGUGUGAUAAUUAUCUACGCUGUGGUGGGCUCGCUUCUGUAGAGACACGCUUUCUAACUGUCCGAAAGGACAGCUUUCAUCGAACUUUGACCUCAAAUCAGGUGGGACUACCCGCUGAACUUAAGCAUAUCAAUAAGCGGAGGA
RNAcentral lists this ribosomal RNA (659 nucleotides) under Stereum hirsutum. RNAcentral's name for it is "eukaryotic LSU rRNA". The stretch from base 240 to 393 matches the Rfam family "5.8S ribosomal RNA". Lineage: Eukaryota; Fungi; Basidiomycota; Agaricomycetes; Russulales; Stereaceae. The record is from RNAcentral.